GACGAACGCUGGCGGCGUGCCUAGUACAUGCAAGUAGAACGCACAGUUUAUACCGUAGCUUGCUACACCAUAGACUGUGAGUUGCGAACGGGUGAGUAACGCGUAGGUAACCUGCCUGGUAGCGGGGGGUAACUAUUGGAAAAGAUAGCUAAUAACGCCUAAUAUUUAUUAUUUCAUGAUAAUUAAUUGAAAAGUGCAAUUGCACCACUACCCGAUGGACCUGCGUUGUAUUAGCUAGUAGGUGAGGUAACGGCUCACCUAGGCGACGAUACAUAGCCGACCUGAGAGGGUGAUCGGCCACACUGGGACUGAGACACGGCCCAGAUUCCUACGGGAGGCAGCAGUAGGGAAUCUUCGGCAAUGGACGAAAGUCUGACCGAGCAACGCCGCGUGAGUGAAGAAGGUUUUCGGAUCGUAAAGCUCUGUUGUAAGAGAAGAACGGGUGUGAGAGUGGAAAGUUCACACUGUGACGGUAUCUUACCAGAAAGGGACGGCUAACUACGUG
This 505-nucleotide ribosomal RNA is filed under the name uncultured bacterium. RNAcentral describes it as "partial 16S ribosomal RNA". It matches the Rfam family "Bacterial small subunit ribosomal RNA", at positions 28 to 507 of the family's 1533-position model. The record is from RNAcentral.